This is a long non-coding RNA of Populus euphratica (Euphrates poplar), 480 nucleotides long. RefSeq lists it as uncharacterized. NCBI's taxonomy places the organism in Eukaryota, Viridiplantae, Streptophyta, Magnoliopsida, Malpighiales, Salicaceae. The record is from RefSeq and is a predicted model, not a curated record. The transcript is spliced from 2 exons.
UGCCUGCAUAAAAAAAGAUAAAAAGGCAAAUUAUUCAAGACUUCAAAUGACAAGAUCCUAUAUUUGAUCACACUAGGAAGACAUCUCAAAAUUCCCACAAGGGAUGGCCAUGAGAAAUUAUCCAAUACUCAGUUGUAUGUACUAAAAAUCUCUCCUCUCACACUUGCAUAUGCAGAAUAGAUCUCAUAUAAAGGUCAGAAGACAAACGCUGAGCCAGAAGGCUGCUAGCAGUGUUCAUAUAGUCCAAUGAAACCUCAUUUUAAAAUAAAACGAUUCCUUCUCACAUGGAUACCUCACUGACACAAUUUGCCUUUACAAACAGUAAAUGAUAGAUAUAUCCAAAGGGUCUAUAAUUACUGUGUGAAUACUGAGAAUAAGAAACAACAUCUAUGUAAGAACUUGCCACAGCCGUGAUGAUUAACACAUCUCAAGCAUCUUUGAUUAGCAUUUGACUAAGAGCAAAGGAAUCCUCUUACAAAA